GACGAACGCUGGCGGCGUGCUUAACACAUGCAAGUCGAACGGAAAGGCCCUGCUUUUGUGGGGUGCUCGAGUGGCGAACGGGUGAGUAACACGUGAGUAACCUGCCCUUACUUUUGGGUAACUUUAGGGAACUGGGGGUAAUAACCGGUUGGGAGCCCCGGUGGCAUGGUGGGGGUGGAAAGUUUCGGCGGUUGGGGAUGGACUCGCGGCUUAUCAGCUUGUUGGUGGGGUAGUGGCUUACCAAGGCUUUGACGGGUAGCCGGCCUGAGAGGGUGACCGGCCACAUUGGGACUGAGAUACGGCCCAGACUCCUACGGGAGGCAGCAGUGGGGAAUAUUGCACAAUGGGCGGAAGCCUGAUGCAGCAACGCCGCGUGCGGGAUGACGGCCUUCGGGUUGUAAACCGCUUUCGCCUGUGACGAAGCGUGAGUGACGGUAAUGGGUAAAGAAGCACCGGCUAACUACGUG
Molecule: ribosomal RNA, 467 nt
Filed under: uncultured bacterium
Lineage: Bacteria
Description: partial 16S ribosomal RNA
Rfam family: Bacterial small subunit ribosomal RNA
Source: RNAcentral